This 301-nucleotide ribosomal RNA is filed under the name uncultured bacterium. RNAcentral describes it as "partial 16S ribosomal RNA". It matches the Rfam family "Bacterial small subunit ribosomal RNA", at positions 509 to 807 of the family's 1533-position model. The record is from RNAcentral.
CAGCCGCCGCGGGAAUACGAAGGGUGCAAGCGUUAAUCGGAAUUACUGGGCGUAAAGCGUGCGUAGGUGGUGGUUUAAGUCCGUUGUGAAAGCCCUGGGCUCAACCUGGGAAUUGCAGUGGAUACUGGAUCACUAGAGUGUGGUAGAGGAUAGUGGAAUCUCCGGUGUAGCAGUGAAAUGCGUAGAGAUCGGAAGGAACAUCCGUGGCGAAGGCGACUAUCUGGGCCAACACUGACACUGAGGCACGAAAGCGUGGGGAGCAAACAGGAUUAGAUACCCCGGUAGUCCCUGUCUCUUAUAC